RNAcentral lists this ribosomal RNA (427 nucleotides) under uncultured Actinomycetes bacterium. Its description in RNAcentral is "bacterial SSU rRNA". It matches the Rfam family "Bacterial small subunit ribosomal RNA", at positions 958 to 1385 of the family's 1533-position model. Lineage: Bacteria; Bacillati; Actinomycetota; Actinomycetes. The record is from RNAcentral.
AACGCGAAGAACCUUACCUGGGUUUGACAUGCACAGGACGCUGGUAGAGAUAUCAGUUCCCUUGUGGUCUGUGUGCAGGUGGUGCAUGGCUGUCGUCAGCUCGUGUCGUGAGAUGUUGGGUUAAGUCCCGCAACGAGCGCAACCCUUGUCUCAUGUUGCCAGCGCGUUAUGGCGGGGACUCGUGAGAGACUGCCGGGGUCAACUCGGAGGAAGGUGGGGAUGACGUCAAGUCAUCAUGCCCCUUAUGUCCAGGGCUUCACACAUGCUACAAUGGCCGGUACAAAGGGCUGCGAUGCCGUGAGGUUAAGCGAAUCCUUUAAAGCCGGUCUCAGUUCGGAUCGGGGUCUGCAACUCGACCCCGUGAAGUCGGAGUCGCUAGUAAUCGCAGAUCAGCAACGCUGCGGUGAAUACGUUCCCGGGCCUUGUA